AUGGCCAUGAAUGGAAGAACGAACACAAGGAAGCCACACAAGAAGAAAUCGAGGGAAGAGGAAAUUAAUGUACAGGAAACAGGGUAUCAAAGAUGUAAAGGCAUAAGGAUUACCUACAAAAACGAGAACCUCCCCGGUAAUGCUUCAAAAAUUCGUUCAGGUUUUGUAGGCCUAUGGAGCAGUAUUGCAGCAGCUUUGAACUAUUAUUCUUUGCUUGGUAUGAUGCAGGUUUACAGCCCUGUGGCACAGUAUUGCAGCUGCUUUGAACUGUUAUGA
Vicia faba (fava bean) is the source of this 276-nucleotide non-coding RNA. NCBI's taxonomy places the organism in Eukaryota, Viridiplantae, Streptophyta, Magnoliopsida, Fabales, Fabaceae. The record is from the annotation of a GenBank genome assembly.